GGAACUGUCACUAAUAUAUCUGAAAAUAUGAGGUUAGCGGCAGAUUGCCGAUUAUGGCAACUGUAGAUUAUAUAAAUGUGGUAGCUUAGAGAUAAGAUAAGAACAAUUUAGAUCACCGUAGAAACACGGGUUAUGGAAAACCCUUACAUUGUUCAUCUGUAGUGAAAGGUACUAUUUAUGAAACACAAUGUUUUUCGAUGCAGC
Molecule: long non-coding RNA, 204 nt
Filed under: Mytilus galloprovincialis (Mediterranean mussel)
Lineage: Eukaryota; Metazoa; Mollusca; Bivalvia; Mytilida; Mytilidae
Source: RNAcentral